UUGGUUUGCUCAGGAUAAUCCUCCCUGCAGUGGGCCUAUGAAAACAGAUUAUCAGAGAUAAAAGAGCGCAGUGGAAAGGCAGACGGGUGGCGAUGGUGGGAGAUGAGAUGGAGGCGGCUGCUUUCUUUGAAAUUCAACUCUCACUUAGCCCCCUCCACUCCCAGCAAACGCUCUGUGCACACGGCCCGCUGCAUUGCCAUAGAAACCUUCCUUUUAAUCACAACAGAAACCUCAUUUCCUACCGCUGACAAAAGAGUCCUCAUUGCCUGCAGAGACCGCCUGCAUCAGCCAUAUCGAGGCCCGCCUCCUUCUGCAGGUCUCUGUGUCCCUCCCACCCCUCGAUCCCCCUGUGUGCGAGUCCCUCAUCUCAGCUUUGGUUGCUGUGCAGAUGGCUCUUUGUUGGUGCUUCACAAUGGGUCUAAGGUCAGGGUCGAAGCCCUUUUAUCGGCCCCCGCGGUUCGUGACGGGAUCCCAAAAUGGAGCCAGAAAGCAGAAAGAGUUCAUAACCCGAUGUGGACGGAGCAACUGGUUGAGGCUUUGGCUGGACCAUGGGAUCCAACCAACAGGGAGGGAGACAAUGCACAACCAUUUGGACUCAUUUGCAAGAGUGGCAGAAUCAGAGUGUAGAGAACGGUACACUUUGAUAUGUGUGAUCUCUUUGCACCCUGAAUCUGGGAAGCUUUGAUUUAUCUUUUGUGUGUUUUAUCUUAUCUUAAUUAUUAGAAAUCUUAUUCUUUCAUACUAAAUGUAUAUUGUUUGGGGUUUUAGUCUUACUUUUGUUGAAACAUUUGUUUGUAAAGGUAGUUUUGUUUCUCUACCCUUAUUCAGUUGAAUCCUUUAUGGCUGCUGCACUGACGUAAUAGCACCAAUGUAACUGUGAAAUGCGACCCCUGCAAUGUAAGCAUUUAAUAUUUUUGUAUAUACCCCCCUUUUACAUUGUUGGUAGAGUCAUUUAUUAAUUUACUUUUUAGUAUUAUUAUUAUUAUAGUCUUGCUGUUGUUUUCUUUUCUUUUCUUUCAACCUUGAAGACAUUAAAAAGGAAUAUUUCUUCAAACGCCAUUAUUUUUUUCAGUAAAAGCAUUGAAUAACUUUGUUAAUUUACAGAAAUGUUAUUAAAUAUGUGACUCCUGUCUAAGAAGUCACUUUAAAAAAACCUUUAAUUUGAAAACACAGAAUGACUUGUGGGGGUCUUGUGGCAGCACUAUUAGUGCACAUGUUGCCCUCAUGGCCCACAAUGACUUAAUCGUGUUAAUUAUAGAUCAAUAACUUUCUCAAUCGCGGUGCAUUUGAAGGAAAGCGUGCCACUGAGAAGUUAACCUCAUGUUGUCCUGUACUCUGCAGGACCUCAAAGGCUGAGAAAGCCAGGCAGACCAUGCAGGACACUGCUGUUCAAAACAAAAGAGCACAGUUUGCCCCCCCCC
Long non-coding RNA from Pungitius pungitius (ninespine stickleback), 1421 nucleotides. RefSeq lists it as uncharacterized. NCBI's taxonomy places the organism in Eukaryota, Metazoa, Chordata, Actinopteri, Perciformes, Gasterosteidae. The transcript is spliced from 3 exons. The record is from RefSeq and is a predicted model, not a curated record.